UACGGAGGAUGCGAGCGUUAUCCGGAUUUAUUGGGUGUAAAGGGAGCGUAGGCGGCGCGUUAAGUCUGAUGUGAAAACCCGAGGCUCAACCACGGGAGUGCAUUGGAAACUGGCGUGCUGGAGUGCCGGAGAGGUAAGCGGAAUUCCUAGUGUAGCGGUGAAAUGCGUAGAUAUUAGGAGGAACACCAGUGGCGAAGGCGGCUUACUGGACGGCAACUGACGCUGAGGCUCGAAAGCGUGGGGAGCAAACAGG
This 253-nucleotide ribosomal RNA is filed under the name uncultured bacterium. Its description in RNAcentral is "partial 16S ribosomal RNA". It matches the Rfam family "Bacterial small subunit ribosomal RNA", at positions 524 to 776 of the family's 1533-position model. The record is from RNAcentral.